GUUGUGGGUUGGAGCGGAAAUUAAGCUCAGCCUGGUAUUAACCUUCCAGGGAGCGGUAUCAAUGGGCCACAAGGGCGUCCUGCCCCAGCCUUCCACACCCCCGCCCCCGUCUUUGCCGACUCAUGGCCGUGGGUUGGGAGAGGGGGCAGCAAUCUGAGAGGAUCUUCAAAAAUAAAGUCAGGGCGAGCUUCCCGGUUUGGAACAGUCGUUCUUUUCCACUUGCUCAUCCCCUCCCCGGCCACUGUCUUUCAAGUGAAAACCAUAUCCAUUUUCAAGAUCUCUUCAUAAAUGAUGAUUUAAGAGUAAAGGCUUCAGAAGAAUGGAGUCACGUGAUAAUGCUUUCAUUAAAAUACAGGCCACUGCCACUUCAAGGUUUUGCCUUUUUCUACCAGCUGCCAUCAUGUUUACCUUAAAUACAUAUAAAUUUAAGCUCCAACUUAAGCUUAUAGACCUUUAAAAGCAAAAAAGGAAGCACGUAGACCAAAUAUUUCUUUAUCUUGGAUACAGAAUCCUAUUGAAUCAAUUCUUAGACAGUCAGUGCUGGAAGAGAGGACAGAGAUGAUUGAAUUCAAUUUCCAUAAGGAGGCUGAUGUCUAGAGACGAGGCAUCAUCUGCCCAAGUUUAUCUACAAAUCUGGCUUUCAAACAAGAAAAUGACACGUUUAUUCAUUCCAUUUUUAUGGAAUGGACCGCCAGAAAUACGCCCCACAAAAGCAGCGACUAGCGCAGUAUCUGUGCUCUCGAUGUGUCUGCAACCUAGUCUAGGAGAGAGACACCUGGAGUCAGGCCAGGUGGGGAUGACGUGGUCACGUUCUCAGCAUACUUAGGAUGAUUCCUCACUGGGAGAAGGCAAGGGGUACUCUGAGAGAAGUACUGCUGAAGGCACAUUCCAAACGAGAGAGCAGCUGUGCAAAGGCCCAGCGGGCCCUAGAGCAGGGUACAUGGUUAAGGGGCUGAAAUGUGAGAAUGGAGGAGUGUGUGCAGAAUGCUAGGUGGAGAGGCCAACCACGUGACUGGAGAGGGAGGCAGGGGCCAUGGAAAGCCUGGAGGGCUGUGCUAAUGAAGGUGAUGGAGCCAGUGUAGCAGCUAACCAGAGAGAGGCCAGAGAGGAACGCUGGUUUUAGAAAGGCAAUUCUGGAAGCUCACAGAAGAAGGAUUACAUGCAGGCAAGAAAGCAUUUCAGAGGCAUUGCAAUAAUCCAGGCCAGGAAUGAGGAUCUGAGACAGGGUGUUUUCAGUAGAAGGCAGAGAGAAGAGAUAGCAGAUGGGGGGUUCAGAGAAGAGAGAUGUCAGGAAGAACCCAGGUUUCUGGCUUGGGCUGUUGGGUAACUGACAGCUCACUAAGCAAGGAAUUGCUGAGAAGGUUAAGACUUGAAAGGGGAAAUGAAUUCUGCUUAGGCGAGGGGUUGAUAUUCUAUUGGGUUUGAAGUGGCUGUAGGACAUCCAGACGGAGGUGUCAAGAAUCGAUUGUUUAAAGGGACCUGAAACUCAGGAGAGAGAGAUGCCCUAAAGAUAUUGGGAGUCACUCAUACACAAAUAAGAUAUGGGAGGGGGCGAGAUAAGGCAGAAAAAUGUGAAAUGAGAAGAGAAGAAUGUCAAGGAUGGAACACUAACAUUUAAGGAAGGGAGAAAGGAGGGAAAUGAAAGAGUGGUAAAAAUGGAGGUUAAAGAGACCAGAGGUUUUGGUAUCAAAGAACAACAACUGUGAGAACAGAAGCGUAAGAUCUAGAUGGUUAGUGGUGUGAUCAGAAGGGAGGAUAAAUGAGUUUAAGCCAAGGUACCAAGGAAUGGUGAGAGGAGCUUUAGCUCUAUCAUCUCCAUCACCCCCUUCCAAAAUCAACAAUCAACAGAAGUAAAAGUUAAUACUUUUUGUAAAGUAUACAAACUAUACUUUUGGUGAAAAAAAAAUCUAUAUUUGCAUUUGCUAUGACAAAUCCCUCAGCUACACCUUCCACCCAGAUGACUGCCCCCAAGCCUCCCCUGCAUGUAAAAUGUGGUCCUCCUCCCGAGCUGAGAGUUUCAGUGGGAGCUGGGGAUGAGGCCACGGUGCAACCUCAGCAAGGGGUUCUUGAAGUGAAAUGGGGCAGAGGUUCCCGGAGAGGAAGGAGUCAAGAGCCCGUGGGCCCAGGGAUUCGAUGGCCACUGUUUGGGCAUAGAAGAUUCCAGAGCCAUGGGAGGCACAGGGGGAAGAGGGAAGACCAGGAGCCUAAGGUUCAAGGAAAUGGGAGGAGGGCCUGAGAAUUCAGGAGAUGGCAGAGACCAAAGAAAUGCUUUCUGUGCCAUUCUGGUGAGGAAGAGGAGGCAAAGAAAUCGAGAGAGAAGAAGAGGGAAGGAGAAGAAGGAGAGAGCAAAGCGAGGAGGGAAAAGAGAAGGGAACAAUAAAAGAGAUGACAAGGACAUCAAUCCUAAAACCGGCUGAGCAGCUCCCAGGGCCCUGAGAGCUCUGCCUCCAAGUUUCAAGCUUGAGUUCUCCUCCCAGGGCAACUGAAGAUCCCAGGGAGCGGCUGCCCAGCUCCCGGCAAGGAGUUCGCUCCUGUGACCCACAAGCCAAGGGGCUCCAGACCUCAGGCUGUGGAUGACUCCGUGGUUGCUCCUCCAGGGGCCUGAUUGGUGGGGAGAAGACCCUCCAGAACUUGAACCAUAGUAGGUCUCUGAACUUCCUGCUGUCUCCGCUAAGUCCUCCCCUCCAGGCCUGUACUCUGCAGCCUUCCUUCGUCUCAGAUUCGCUCAUAAGAGGGAAACGGGUCCUGUCUCCACACGUAGAUCAUGUAAGCACCUCAUCCCCAUCAUCAUACCCAGAACAGAGCAGGCCGUGGAGCUGAUGCCCAAUG
Molecule: long non-coding RNA, 2829 nt
Filed under: Equus caballus (horse)
Lineage: Eukaryota; Metazoa; Chordata; Mammalia; Perissodactyla; Equidae
Description: lncRNA (ENSECAG00000052491.1)
Source: RNAcentral